Molecule: transfer RNA, 71 nt
Filed under: Caudoviricetes sp.
Lineage: Duplodnaviria; Heunggongvirae; Uroviricota; Caudoviricetes
Description: tRNA-Cys
Rfam family: tRNA
About the family: Transfer RNA (tRNA) molecules are approximately 80 nucleotides in length. Their secondary structure includes four short double-helical elements and three loops (D, anti-codon, and T loops). Further hydrogen bonds mediate the characteristic L-shaped molecular structure. tRNAs have two regions of fundamental functional importance: the anti-codon, which is responsible for specific mRNA codon recognition, and the 3' end, to which the tRNAs corresponding amino acid is attached (by aminoacyl-tRNA synthetases). tRNAs cope with the degeneracy of the genetic code in two manners: having more than one tRNA (with a specific anti-codon) for a particular amino acid; and 'wobble' base-pairing, i.e. permitting non-standard base-pairing at the 3rd anti-codon position.
Source: RNAcentral
GUAGGGUUGCCCGAGCGGUUAGGGGCUGGUCUGCAAAACCAGUCAGAACGGUUCAACUCCGUUACCCUACU